Manis javanica (Malayan pangolin) is the source of this 3179-nucleotide non-coding RNA. Lineage: Eukaryota; Metazoa; Chordata; Mammalia; Pholidota; Manidae. The record is from RefSeq and is a predicted model, not a curated record.
GAUAAGAAUCCCACUCAAUAGUCCUAUGAGAAGAGUCUGAACACAGCAGGCUUUAAUUUUCUUGUCAGGAAGAAACAUGCGAAGAGCCUUCUGAAAGAACCCCACUGCCACAAAUCGUCUCAUCUCCACAGCCGUGGAAGAUUGUGUCCCAUCACCUAUCUGGAUAUGAGACUCCUGAACAGACUCAGUCCCAGAGGCCCCAUCAUAUGCGUCGUCUAUUCUCGUAAAGUUUAAUUCACAGGCCUCCAAGGGACAAACUAAGACCCAGGGGCCAACUGCUCAUCGCCUGUUUUCAUAUGGCCCAUGAGAAAUAAAGAUCUGGCAAUUCCCAUGCUAUGAUACCUCUUUUUCCCAGAGGAAUUAAAUGAAAGAGAAUCAGUUUGUGACACACAUCAGUUAUGAAGGUUCAUAGAAACUUUGAACAUCUUUCCCAUCACUUCAUCCUUUAUGAAGACCCCUGACUAAAGCGAUUGAAAAGUGCUGUUUAUGUAAAAUGGCCAUGGCCCGUAAUAUUGGAACAUUUCUUGGAAGAUAAGAGAAUGGAUACCUCUUAAAAGUGACAGAAUUCAUUUCAUAUCCUGUUACUUCCAGAAACUUUCUUCUGCUAUUUUUUAAAUGUGAUUUGCUGUUUCUGAGGAAGCAAGCUCAUCCCCAGCAGAUUUAGAAGAUAAAUUUCUACUAGAUUACUGAACACGAUAAUUAAUUUUAAGAGUGCCAAAGUACAUGUUUCUGCCACCUGUAAAAGUUAGUCUUUAUGUGAUUUAGUGCCAAGGAUGAUUUCAUGUAACAAGGGAUAGUUACUGUCUCAUACCCUCUCUAUACUCUCUAUACUCAAAUUCUUGACCUGAAUGUCAAAUUUUCACUAAUGUAGAAGCCAGAGCAAAAAUACCAAAUUUUGAGGGAAAAUACUGUAAAAAUUUAUUUACCACCUAAAUGAUUUUUUUCAGAUUUGUGGUAUUUUUUUACUGUAUUACGUCUCCUUACUGUAUUAAUAUUUCUGUAUUAUGCAAAUGUUUUCCCAUUUACUUUCUGAAUAUGAUGAGAUAAAUGGUGGUCUGUGUUGAAAGGAGAAAAGCAAGCACUGAAAAUCUUUAUUUGUAAAAAAUGUCCCAGGCAAUGAUUUCCAUCAUUACAUGUCCUAUUCUUGGUUUGCUCUUCCAGUGAGCAGUGUCAGGAAGGAGAACUUCAACAGUACCAAGUCUUAUAUUCAGAACAUUGUGUUCCCUCAUCCUUUGUUUCUGGAACAUUUUUUGAUUAUAAGAAAAGGGCAAUAGUGUGAUGUCAUGUUUCAAGAGAAAGUAGGUUAUCUUAUGGCUCUUAAAGAUAACAUUUACCCAAUCACUGCAAAGGAGUUUUCAGAGUUUACAUCUACUGACCUAUAGAGUGUAAAUGGAUUUAUGUUCUGUAGGUUAAAUCAGUCACACAAGGAAAGAUUAUAAGGAACAGGUGCAUAACCAAUGUUUCCAAUAUUCUGAGCUGCUCCAACAGAAAGAGAUAACAAUAGCUAAAAUUUAUAUAGCAUUUAUUAUGUGCCGGGCAAUAUUUUAGGAAUUGCACAUUAAUUCAAGUAGUCUUCACAGCAGCUCUCUGAGUUAUGUACAAUGACAAUUUGAUGCCCAUUUCAUAAACAGGAGCACAGAAAGAUUACACAACUUGCUCAAUGUCAUGAUAUAGCUUCAUUAAAUGGCGAGGGGUGGAAGCAGAAUCUGCACACUGAUGGUCUGGUGCUAAAGUAAGGCUCUUGAUCACUGCUCUAGACUGCUUAACUACUAGAGUAAUAUGAUCAUAAAAAGGGGUAAGUAACAUAUUUACAUUUUUCAAAAUAACUGUGGAGACAUGAAUUAAAACAAAAUAGGAACUUUGAAUCUUUCCCUUUUAUGGGAUAUCAAGAAAGCUAGUUACAAUGUUUUGUCCAUGAAAAAUUUAUUUGAAGGCUUGUUUAUAAAAAUAAUCUUCUGAGCUCAAACCUUAUUCCGGAAGAUCAAUGUCUGCAUGGUACAUGGUACACAAUUUAAUUUUCCCAGUUGAACAUUCUGACAAUAUAUGAACCAUGAAUGCAUGAAAUAGAAAUUCCAAAUGUCUUCCACAUGCAAAGAGAAUAUUCCAAUACUUGUGCAGGAAGCUGAAGAGUAGUUUGAAAUUAAGUUGUGCCUGUUCUUAGUGACUUUUAUUAUGUAUGCCUAAGGUAUUAGCACUUUCUCUGAGUGGGACUCUGAGGUGAUAGAUAGAUGAGCCUGCUGUCUGUAUUUAGGCACUUUGCUCAUUUCCUGAGAGCUGUGUGGAAAGCAUGUGGAUGCUCAUUAGGUUUCCAACCAUUCUCCUAGAGCAACAGGUGGUGGAUCAAAGCUUCCCUGGUAUGCCAUGGCUGGGUUCCUCAAGUCUUGGAAAUAAUGAUGGCCUUUGCAUGCUCUCUGGAGUACCAGCAGAUAAGGAGGUGAAUAGCAGCAGGAAGUAUUUCCACAGCAUAAACAAACACACAAGUCUAGGAAGCUUAUGAGUAAUGUCCUUGCUACCACAUAUUCUAAAUCCGUACAUGGUGGUUCCCUCUCUAAAUAUUGUUACUCGUUCAAACUAUAAAAUUAUGGGUAACUGUCCUGUGGUUAGCAACCUAAUAAAAGUGAGGUAUAUAAAGGAAUAAAGGACAUCCCAGGCUAGUGAAGCUAUAUCAUAAAAUCAUAAAGUUUUAACACAUUUAUAAAUAUCCACUGACUACUAAUGACAAUGUCUUAAAUUGCCUCCUUUAAAAAUUAUUUAAUUAUACUGAGCACCUACCACAUUGUAUGGAAAGAAUAUUGCUACAACUUGAAAGAGAACAAGAAGACAAGCUAAUUACACCAAAAACAGAAUCUGUGAUUUAAAUCAAAUACUGGAUAGUUACUUAACAGUACUUGAUAAUCACACAGAAAAGUAUCUCUAGUGAAUAUGAAAAGGCUUUUGCCAAUUGAUUGCUUAUUGUCACUAUAGUCACUAGUCAAAGUUAGAAAAACAAAGGAAAAUAUCACCUGUACUAUUGUGACAAAAUACAUCUGGCAAUUUUCUACAGCAGAGGAAUAAAAGCAUUCACUGGAGGUGGCAAAUCACCACCAUCUUUCUAACUUCAAAAAGUUCAAAACAUUCAGUAGUUCACAUAUGGCUGGGGAAAUGCUAUGGGAUAUUUUUCAUGGGUGACAUAAAAUAAA